UGGAAGCCGUAAUGUUAGUUUUGAUC
This 26-nucleotide non-coding RNA is filed under the name Mus musculus (house mouse). Lineage: Eukaryota; Metazoa; Chordata; Mammalia; Rodentia; Muridae. The record is from RNAcentral.